RNAcentral lists this non-coding RNA (99 nucleotides) under Foraminifera environmental sample. Lineage: Eukaryota; Foraminifera. The record is from RNAcentral.
UCAACAGCGACAUAGCGCGGGAGCGGGCAGUCUGAGCACCAAGAAACAUUCGUACAACAUGCGGAAGUCGUCGUCGUCGUCAUCACCAUCGCCGGUCAG